RNAcentral lists this ribosomal RNA (773 nucleotides) under uncultured Neocallimastigales. RNAcentral's name for it is "partial large subunit ribosomal RNA". It matches the Rfam family "Eukaryotic large subunit ribosomal RNA", at positions 24 to 634 of the family's 3401-position model. Lineage: Eukaryota; Fungi; Neocallimastigomycota; Neocallimastigomycetes; Neocallimastigales. The record is from RNAcentral.
UAUCUCUGUAGAGUCUGCAUAUCAAUAAGCGGAGGAAAAGAAACUAACAAGGAUUCCCUUAGUAACGGCGAGUGAAGCGGGAAGAGCUCAAAUUUGAAAUCUUCAAGGUUUUACCUUGACGAAUUGUAGUUUAAAGAAGUGUUUUCUGUUGAAGUUUCGGUAAAAGUUCUUUGGAAUAGGACAUCAUAGAGGGUGAGAAUCCCGUAUUUGACCGUUAUUUUCAGCUGUGUGAUACACUUUCAAAGAGUCGGAUUGUUUGGGAAUGCAGUCCAAAUGGGUGGUAAAUUUCAUCUAAAGCUAAAUAUUGGCGAGAGACCGGUAGCGAACAAGUACCGUGAGGGAAAGAUGAAAAGAACUUUGAAAAGAGAGUUAAACAGUACGUGAAAUUGUCAAAAGGGAAGCGUUUGACACCAGUGUUGUUUUCUCGAAAAUCAAUUAAAAAUGGCUUGAUUUUGUGUUGUAUUGACCUUAAAAGCUUUCUUCACUUUUUUCAUGUCCUUUUUAAUGCACUUUUCGUUUAACAAGUCAACAUCAGUUUCUUUUGUUGUAAAAAGGUCAUUGGAAGGUGGCUUUCUUUUCGGAGAAAGUGUUUAUAGCCUUUGACUUCUGCAAUCGGAGAGACUGAGGUCUGCAGCGUAGAUCCUUCUGGAUUAGAUUCAUUUGUGCUAAGUUACAACCGUUUAUAGACAACUUGUUGACUAUAUUCGAUCCUGUAGCUUACUCGCUUAUGUAAUUUUACCUACGCUUAGGAUGUUGAUAUGCAUGACUGAUAU